UACGAAGGGGGCUAGCGUUGCUCGGAAUCACUGGGCGUAAAGGGUGCGUAGGCGGGCCUUUAAGUCAGGGGUGAAAUCCUGGAGCUCAACUCCAGAACUGCCUUUGAUACUGAAGAUCUCGAGUUCGGGAGAGGUGAGUGGAACUGCGAGUGUAGAGGUGAAAUUCGUAGAUAUUCGCAAGAACACCAGUGGCGAAGGCGGCUCACUGGCCCGAUACUGACGCUGAGGCACGAAAGCGUGGGGAGCAAACAGG
Molecule: ribosomal RNA, 253 nt
Filed under: uncultured bacterium
Lineage: Bacteria
Description: partial 16S ribosomal RNA
Rfam family: Bacterial small subunit ribosomal RNA
Source: RNAcentral